ACUGACGUUGAGGAACGAAAGCAUAGGGAUCAAACAGGAUUAGAAACCCUGGUAGUCUAUGCUGUCAAAGAUGAUUGCUACCAUUAGAAGUUUGCUCUGAUACGUUACAGUUAACACGUUAAGCGAUCCGCCUGAGGAGUACUUUCGCAAGAAUGAAACUCAAAGGAAUUGACGGGAGUCUACACAAGUGGUGGAGCAUGUGGUUUAAUGCGAUAGUACGCGCAAAAUCUUACCAGUUCUUG
This 242-nucleotide ribosomal RNA is filed under the name uncultured bacterium. Its description in RNAcentral is "partial 16S ribosomal RNA". It matches the Rfam family "Bacterial small subunit ribosomal RNA", at positions 739 to 983 of the family's 1533-position model. The record is from RNAcentral.